Molecule: ribosomal RNA, 434 nt
Filed under: uncultured bacterium
Lineage: Bacteria
Description: partial 16S ribosomal RNA
Rfam family: Bacterial small subunit ribosomal RNA
Source: RNAcentral
CCUACGGGAGGCAGCAGUGGGGAAUUUUGCGCAAUGGGCGAAAACCUGACGCAGCGACGCCGCGUGGAGGAUGAAGGCCUUCGGGUUGUAAACUCCUGUUAGAGGGGAAGAAGCCCCGCAAGGGGUUGACGGUACCCUCAGAGGAAGCCCCGGCUAACUACGUGCCAGCAGCCGCGGUAAUACGUAGGGUGCGAGCGUUAAUCGGAAUUACUGGGCGUAAAGCGUGCGCAGGCGGCUUUGUAAGACGGAUGUAAAAUCCCUGGGCUUAACUUAGGAACUGCGUUCGUGACUGCAAAGCUAGAGUGCGGCAGAGGGGGGUGGAAUUCCUGGUGGAGCAGUGAAAUGCGUAGAGAUCGGGAGGAACACCGAUGGCGAGGGCGGCUCCCUGGCCUAACCCUGACGCGGAGGCGCGAAAGCGGGGGGAGCAAACGGGA